UACGUAGGGUGCAAGCGUUGUCCGGAAUUAUUGGGUGUAAAGAGCUCGUAGGCGGUUUGUUGCGUCGGCUGUGAAAUCCCGAGGCUCAACCUCGGGUCUGCAGUCGAUACGAGCAAACUAGAGUGUUGCAGGGGAGACUGGAAUUCCUGGUGUAGCGGUGAAAUGCGUAGAUAUCAGGAGGAACACCUGUGGUGUAGACAGCUUACUGGACCAUAACUGACGCUGAGGCACGAAAGCGUGGGUAGCAAACAGG
RNAcentral lists this ribosomal RNA (253 nucleotides) under uncultured bacterium. RNAcentral describes it as "partial 16S ribosomal RNA". It matches the Rfam family "Bacterial small subunit ribosomal RNA", at positions 524 to 776 of the family's 1533-position model. The record is from RNAcentral.